RNAcentral lists this small nucleolar RNA (217 nucleotides) under Aotus nancymaae (Ma's night monkey). RNAcentral describes it as "Small nucleolar RNA U3 (ENSANAG00000010521.1)". It matches the Rfam family "Small nucleolar RNA U3". Rfam says of the family: Small nucleolar RNAs (snoRNAs) are involved in the processing and modification of rRNA in the nucleolus. There are two main classes of snoRNAs: the box C/D class, and the box H/ACA class. The record is from Rfam by way of RNAcentral. Lineage: Eukaryota; Metazoa; Chordata; Mammalia; Primates; Aotidae.
AAGGCUAUACUUUCAGGGAUAAUUUCUAUAGUUCGUCACUAGAGAAGUUUCUCUGAAUGUGUAGAGCACAAGAAACCACGAGGAGGAGGAGAAGAUGCAGGAUUCUGUCCUAAAUGUGAAGCCAGCUCUUGGUGUUGCUUCAACUGCCAAUUGUUAUUAAUGAUAGUUCUUCUUUCCCACUGGGAGAAUGGAAAGGAGAGGAUGCAGUCUUUGUGGU